RNAcentral lists this ribosomal RNA (253 nucleotides) under uncultured bacterium. RNAcentral's name for it is "partial 16S ribosomal RNA". It matches the Rfam family "Bacterial small subunit ribosomal RNA", at positions 524 to 776 of the family's 1533-position model. The record is from RNAcentral.
UACGUAGGGUGCGAGCGUUAAUCGGAAUUACUGGGCGUAAAGCGUGCGCAGGCGGUUCGUUGUGUCGGCGGUGAAAGCCCCGGGCUUAACCUGGGAAUGGCCGUUGAGACUGGCGAACUGGAGUGUGGCAGAGGGGGGUGGAAUUCCGCGUGUAGCAGUGAAAUGCGUAGAGAUGCGGAGGAACACCGAUGGCGAAGGCAGCCCCCUGGGCUAACACUGACGCUCAGGCACGAAAGCGUGGGGAGCAAACAGG